Molecule: ribosomal RNA, 433 nt
Filed under: uncultured bacterium
Lineage: Bacteria
Description: partial 16S ribosomal RNA
Rfam family: Bacterial small subunit ribosomal RNA
Source: RNAcentral
AACGAACGCUGGCGGCAUGCCUAACACAUGCAGGUCGAACGAUCCCUUCGGGGAUAGUGGCGCACGGGUGCGUAACGCGUGGGAACCUGCCCUUAGGUUCGGAAUAACUCAGAGAAAUUUGAGCUAAUACCGGAUAAUGUCUUCGGACCAAAGAUUUAUCGCCUUUGGAUGGGCCCGCGUUUGAUUAGCUAGUUGGUUGGGUAAAGGCCUACCAAGGCGACGAUCCAUAGCUGGUCUGAGAGGAUGAUCAGCCACACUGGGACUGAGACACGGCCCCGACUCCUACGGGAGGCAGCAGGUGGGGAUACUGGCCCAUGGGCGGAAGCCUGAACCAGCACUUGCGCGUUAGUGAUUAAGGCCUUAGGGUUGUAAAGCUUUUUUACCCGGGAUGAUAAUGACAGGACCGGGAGAAAAAGCCCCCGCUAACUUCGUG